This 123-nucleotide small RNA is filed under the name Salmonella enterica subsp. enterica serovar Weltevreden. RNAcentral describes it as "RtT sRNA". It matches the Rfam family "RtT RNA". From Rfam's summary of the family: This family represents a bacterial cis-regulatory element known as RtT RNA. The exact function of RtT is unknown although it is thought that it may be involved in changing the cellular response in relation to amino acid starvation. Lineage: Bacteria; Pseudomonadati; Pseudomonadota; Gammaproteobacteria; Enterobacterales; Enterobacteriaceae. The record is from RNAcentral.
AAUUCUGCCAUGUGGGGAAGGAUGAAGCUUCGACUAAGGUUCGAUUCGACGCAGCGAGAAAGCGUUACCGCAGGCAACGACCCGAAGAACGGCGCGCAACUGAGUAAUCCUUCCCCACCACCA